RNAcentral lists this long non-coding RNA (648 nucleotides) under Thrips palmi. RNAcentral describes it as "uncharacterized LOC117642764, transcript variant X2". The record is from RNAcentral. Lineage: Eukaryota; Metazoa; Arthropoda; Insecta; Thysanoptera; Thripidae.
UCUCCCCCCCUCCCCCUCCCCUCCUGCUCCCUUACGGUGGCCUGGCCUAGCCUGUGGCAUCUCUUGUCGGACGAUCGGACCAGCACGGUAUUCAAUACCAAUUUAAGAUCGUUGUUUUGGAGGAAUGAGAAGCACCCCAGAAAGUCUUGGCUAACAACUGCUAUGUUUGAUAUCUGCCUUAAGUUUGGUUAAAGCCGGCCCAUCCAGAGCUUCUCAUAAUUUAUGUCGUUACUCUUUAAUUACAAUGGUUACAUUGAAGAGGCGGCAUGAAAAUGAUAAUUCGAUUAUAAUUGAGAACCCCACUUGUUGUUUGAAGUGGGCGGCAACAGCUCAAGAACAUAAAAAUAUGUCUGUUCUGGACUUCCAGUUAUUGACGGAGUCACUAACUUCAAUACAUCUCCCUUUGUUUACAAUUUUAGAUAAAUACAAGUAAUUUGGAGAUGGAGCAAUAUGUGGCCCUCGUUUAUGAUUCUGGACACCACAUUUUGGUUUUGAGUUGCCCGAAGCAGUCACUGAACACUAUUUUUGUUUUGUUCUGAUCUCGACAUUGUCGAUAGAGUCCAACUCAUCACUGCAUCUUCUUUUAUGGACUAUUUUUAUAAAAUACAACUUAUCAAGAAAUGGAGUAAUAUGUAGUUAGGAUCACCA